Chroicocephalus ridibundus (black-headed gull) is the source of this 874-nucleotide long non-coding RNA. RefSeq lists it as uncharacterized. The transcript is spliced from 2 exons. NCBI's taxonomy places the organism in Eukaryota, Metazoa, Chordata, Aves, Charadriiformes, Laridae. The record is from RefSeq and is a predicted model, not a curated record.
UUGGAAAAUGUGAUUUGACAGAAUUGAGACACAGCAUGGUGAUGUGUUGAUUUAGUAGAAGAUCAGAGUGGAGAAGAAGCAGACAGGCUUGCAGGCUAAGCUGGAGCCCUGUGGCUGCCCAGACUUAGAACCAAAAUGCAUGAAAGACAAGCUAAAACUUUCUAAAUCUAAAUUAGCCUGAAGCAGAAGCUUUAGUCUUGCAAAAGAGACUGAAGUCUUUGAUCUUUUAUUUUGAACUAGGCUAUUUUUAAAGGGGUAGAAAAUGGUUUUCUGGGCAGUUUUGGUCUUUCGCCUCUGAUAUCUGAAUGGAUGAUAAACAUUGAUCUGCUCUCUCCUUCCACCUUAGUUUGGCACUGAUAUGCUUCUUUCUCCAAUAGUGCAGUCCCUAGAGCCUGUGUUCUGUGAAGCAACAGCAAUCUUUACAUACAUACUUAGGAAGAACAUUUAAUUCCAAGAUUAGUCUGCUGUCUUGCCAUUAUCUACUUAUGCAAGUGGUAACACAGAAGAUGCUGAAGACUGGUGGUUGACUAACUGGAGGAAUCAGAGGUGAAAGCCCCGGUACUAGAGGAUAGAACAAGCUUUGGAAGAACCAGAUCAGCAUUUGAAGACAAUAGAAUCACAGGUCUCAAAAUGCAGAGAUAAUAUGUUUGGACAGAUGUGACUGUAAUACUGUCAGCUGCUGCUGUUCCAUAUCAAGGCCUCCAGUAUUUGCUCUUUAUUCUUCAAGCCAAAGCCCUUGGAGACAAGUGAUUAGAGGCAAAUAUUAGCUUUCAUUAUUUUUAAGGGAGAUUCUGAGAAAGUCUUGAAAUAAUGACCCGAAUGUACACUAACAGUUAAAGAUACACACAGCAAAUAAAAAUAGCCUGCAACUGUU